RNAcentral lists this ribosomal RNA (927 nucleotides) under Cortinarius sp. PDD 103691. RNAcentral describes it as "eukaryotic LSU rRNA". It matches the Rfam family "Eukaryotic large subunit ribosomal RNA", at positions 44 to 957 of the family's 3401-position model. The record is from RNAcentral. Lineage: Eukaryota; Fungi; Basidiomycota; Agaricomycetes; Agaricales; Cortinariaceae.
CAAUAAGCGGAGGAAAAGAAACUAACAAGGAUUCCCCUAGUAACUGCGAGUGAAGCGGGAAAAGCUCAAAUUUAAAAUCUGGCAGUCUUUGGCUGUCCGAGUUGUAAUCUAGAGAAGUGUUAUCCGCGUUGGACCGUGUACAAGUCUCCUGGAAUGGAGCGUCAUAGAGGGUGAGAAUCCCGUCUUUGACACGGACUGCCAGGGCUUUGUGAUGCGCUCUCAAAGAGUCGAGUUGUUUGGGAAUGCAGCUCAAAAUGGGUGGUAAAUUCCAUCUAAAGCUAAAUAUUGGCGAGAGACCGAUAGCGAACAAGUACCGUGAGGGAAAGAUGAAAAGAACUUUGGAAAGAGAGUUAAACAGUACGUGAAAUUGCUGAAAGGGAAACGCUUGAAGUCAGUCACGUUGGUCAGGAAUCAACCUUGCUUCUGCUUGGUGUAUUUUCUGGUUGAUGGGUCAGCAUCAAUUUUGAUCAUUGGAAAAAGGUCAGGGGAAUGUGGCAUCCUUGGAUGUGUUAUAGCCCUUGAUUGUAUACAAUGGUUGGGAUUGAGGAACUCAGCACGCCGCAAGGCCGGGUUUUUAACCAUGUUCGUGCUUAGGAUGCUGGCAUAAUGGCUUUAAUCGACCCGUCUUGAAACACGGACCAAGGAGUCUAACAUGCCUGCGAGUGUUUGGGUGGAAAACCCGAGCGCGUAAUGAAAGUGAAAGUUGAGAUCCCUGUCAUGGGGAGCAUCGACGCCCGGACCAGACCUUUUGUGACGGUUCCGCGGUAGAGCAUGUAUGUUGGGACCCGAAAGAUGGUGAACUAUGCCUGAAUAGGGUGAAGCCAGAGGAAACUCUGGUGGAGGCUCGUAGCGAUUCUGACGUGCAAAUCGAUCGUCAAAUUUGGGUAUAGGGGCGAAAGACUAAUCGAACCAUCUAGUAGCUGGUCU